CUAACACAUGCAAGUCGAACGGUAACAGGGAGAAGCUUGCUUCUUUGCUGACGAGUGGCGGACGGGUGAGUAAUGUCUGGGAAACUGCCUGAUGGAGGGGGAUAACUACUGGAAACGGUAGCUAAUACCGCAUAACGUCGCAAGACCAAAGAGGGGGACCUUCGGGCCUCUUACCAUCGGAUGUGCCCAGAUGGGAUUAGCUAGUAGGUGGGGUAACGGCUCACCUAGGCGACGAUCCCUAGCUGGUCUGAGAGGAUGACCAGCCACACUGGAACUGAGACACGGUCCAGACUCCUACGGGAGGCAGCAGUGGGGAAUAUUGCACAAUGGGCGCAAGCCUGAUGCAGCCAUGCCGCGUGUAUGAAGAAGGCCUUCGGGUUGUAAAGUACUUUCAGCGGGGAGGAAGGGAGUAAAGUUAAUACCUUUGCUCAUUGACGUUACCCGCAGAAGAAGCACCGGCUAACUCCGUGCCAGCAGCCGCGGUAAUACGGAGGGUGCAAGCGUUAAUCGGAAUUACUGGGCGUAAAGCGCACGCAGGCGGUUUGUUAAGUCAGAUGUGAAAUCCCCGGGCUCAACCUGGGAACUGCAUCUGAUACUGGCAAGCUUGAGUCUCGUAGAGGGGGGUAGAAUUCCAGGUGUAGCGGUGAAAUGCGUAGAGAUCUGGAGGAAUACCGGUGGCGAAGGCGGCCCCUGGACGAAGACUGACGCUCAGGUGCGAAAGCGUGGGGA
This 729-nucleotide ribosomal RNA is filed under the name uncultured Pseudomonadota bacterium. RNAcentral's name for it is "bacterial SSU rRNA". It matches the Rfam family "Bacterial small subunit ribosomal RNA", at positions 48 to 767 of the family's 1533-position model. Lineage: Bacteria; Pseudomonadati; Pseudomonadota. The record is from RNAcentral.